CAAUUACAUAUAUUUAAACUGCAACAUAUAUACCAAUAUUUAAAAUCGGAUCGAGUCGCGAUGGCUCUCGUAGAUCCUCGGAUCAUUAACAUAGUCAGCAGGCACAUCAACCCACCCCUCUAACCAAACAGCAUUGUAGUUUUGUACAUUCAUCCCAUAAGAAAUGCGCACCGGAUUAUAAGCAUUCUCAAAUUUCUCGCUGAAGCUUUAGCUUUGAGAGAUGUCCUCUAGCUGAUAAUAUGACUGUGGAGAGGCCUAUCCGAAUAUGUCAGCAGCAAAAUCUGACUAGUGAGAUGCUUUGGGCUGCAUAGGAUAGUAGCCACCGGAAGAUACUUCAAACGUACCAUAUCCAUAUCUGUAUGGGUCAUAGGCUGCCUGUGGCUGCGGGUACUAGGAUCCAAUAUACGACUCGGAAUCUGAUACAUCUAUGAAUCAUACUCUACUUGCAAAGUCAUUUGUAGCUGCAUCAUGUCCUCCUAAAUGACCUCGAAGAGCCUGUCUCCUAUAUGCAAUCGUAUCCUCGCGGGCUCUACUAGAUCGUGCACCACGGUUUCUAUCCUAUGUAGCAUGCAUAAACUGGCUCACCGUGAAUCGAAGACCAACCUGCGGCUAUCUUAUAAACGGCGGUCUUCUGUCCUCCACUUUCUUUUUGGCCAACAAAUUUAUGACCACCAGAAUUGCUGCUCUUGAUCUAUGUGAGUGAAUUGAUUUCUCCUCGACACUCUCCAUUGGGGCUUCUGGUCUUCUGUUCUUUUUUGAUGUGCUGGGUAGCUGCCUUCUUAUCCUUCGUGCCUCUCUCUACCUAGCUAUGCUGGAAGGAUGUAUGUCGCCCUCCUGAUUGAGUCGACCGGAUAGCGUAGCGGCCUCGUCUAAGCAUCUUUGGAUCAUAACUCUAAGAGGAUGUCUUGGACAAGAAGUCAUGUGGUGACCAGCUUUUCUG
RNAcentral lists this long non-coding RNA (940 nucleotides) under Phoenix dactylifera (date palm). RNAcentral's name for it is "long non-coding RNA (PDAC_LNC016909)". Lineage: Eukaryota; Viridiplantae; Streptophyta; Magnoliopsida; Arecales; Arecaceae. The record is from RNAcentral.